AGUGGGGAAUCUUCCGCAAUGGGCGCAAGCCUGACGGAGCAACGCCGCGUGGGGGACGAAGGCCUUCGGGUCGUAAACUCCUGUCAGCGGGAAAGAGGGGCGGGGCGGUGCAUAGCCGUCCCGUCUGACGGUACUCGCAGAGGAAGCCACGGCCAACUCCGUGCCAGCAGCCGCGGUAAUACGGAGGUGGCGAGCGUUGUUCGGAAUCACUGGGCGUAAAGGGCGCGUAGGCGGGGUCGGAAGUCGGGUGUGAAAGCCCCGGGCUCAACCCGGGAACGGCGCUCGAGACUCCGGCUCUUGAGUCCCGGAGAGGCGGGUGGAAUUCCUGGUGUAGCGGUGAAAUGUGUAGAGAUCAGGAGGAACACCGGUGGCGUAGGCGGCCCGCUGGACGGAGACUGACGCUGAGGCGCGAAAGCGUGGGGAGCAAA
This 428-nucleotide ribosomal RNA is filed under the name uncultured bacterium. RNAcentral describes it as "bacterial SSU rRNA". It matches the Rfam family "Bacterial small subunit ribosomal RNA", at positions 353 to 772 of the family's 1533-position model. The record is from RNAcentral.